CCUACGGGAGGCAGCAGUGGGGAAUAUUGCACAAUGGGGGAAACCCUGAUGCAGCGACGCCGCGUGCGUGAAGAAGGAAUUCGUUAUGUAAAGCUCUAUCAGCAGGGAAGAAAAUGACGGUACCUGAGUAAGAAGCCCCGGCUAACUAUGUUCCAGCAGCCGCGGCACUACGGAGGGGGCAAGCGUUAUCCUGAGUUACUGUGUGUAAAGGGAGCGGAGAGGGCUGUGCAGGUCUGGAGUGAAAGGCGGGGGCUCAACCCCCGGACUGCUCUUGAAACUGUACGGCUGGAGUGCAGUAGAGGUAAGUGGAAUUCCUAGUGUAGCGGUGAAAUGCGUAGAUAUUAGGAGGAACCCCAGUGGCGAAGGCGGCUUACUGGACUGUAACUGACGUUGAGGCUCGAAAGCGUGGGGAGCAAACAGGAUUAGAUACCCGAGUAGUC
Molecule: ribosomal RNA, 440 nt
Filed under: uncultured bacterium
Lineage: Bacteria
Description: partial 16S ribosomal RNA
Rfam family: Bacterial small subunit ribosomal RNA
Source: RNAcentral